This 1395-nucleotide ribosomal RNA is filed under the name Campylobacter coli. RNAcentral describes it as "partial 23S ribosomal RNA". It matches the Rfam family "Bacterial large subunit ribosomal RNA", at positions 1540 to 2925 of the family's 2925-position model. The record is from RNAcentral. Lineage: Bacteria; Pseudomonadati; Campylobacterota; Epsilonproteobacteria; Campylobacterales; Campylobacteraceae.
AUACUCCGAGAACUGAAAGGCUUUUUGAAGUCUUCGGAUGGAUAGAAGAACCCCUGAUGCCGUCGAGCCAAGAAAAGUUUCUAAGUUUAGCUAAUGUUGCCCGUACCGUAAACCGACACAGGUGGGUGGGAUGAGUAUUCUAAGGCGCGUGGAAGAACUCUCUUUAAGGAACUCUGCAAAAUAGCACCGUAUCUUCGGUAUAAGGUGUGGUUAGCUUUGUAUUAGGAUUUACUCCGAAAGCAAGGAAACUUACAACAAAGAGUCCCUCCCGACUGUUUACCAAAAACACAGCACUCUGCUAACUCGUAAGAGGAUGUAUAGGGUGUGACGCCUGCCCGGUGCUCGAAGGUUAAUUGAUGGGGUUAGCAUUAGCGAAGCUCUUGAUCGAAGCCCGAGUAAACGGCGGCCGUAACUAUAACGGUCCUAAGGUAGCGAAAUUCCUUGUCGGUUAAAUACCGACCUGCAUGAAUGGCGUAACGAGAUGGGAGCUGUCUCAAAGAGGGAUCCAGUGAAAUUGUAGUGGAGGUGAAAAUUCCUCCUACCCGCGGCAAGACGGAGAGACCCCGUGGACCUUUACUACAGCUUGACACUGCUACUUGGAUAAGAAUGUGCAGGAUAGGUGGGAGGCUUUGAGUAUAUGACGCCAGUUGUAUAUGAGCCAUUGUUGAGAUACCACUCUUUCUUAUUUGGGUAGCUAACCAGCUUGAGUUAUCCUCAAGUGGGACAAUGUCUGGUGGGUAGUUUGACUGGGGCGGUCGCCUCCCAAAUAAUAACGGAGGCUUACAAAGGUUGGCUCAGAACGGUUGGAAAUCGUUCGUAGAGUAUAAAGGUAUAAGCCAGCUUAACUGCAAGACAUACAAGUCAAGCAGAGACGAAAGUCGGUCUUAGUGAUCCGGUGGUUCUGUGUGGAAGGGCCAUCGCUCAAAGGAUAAAAGGUACCCCGGGGAUAACAGGCUGAUCUCCCCCAAGAGCUCACAUCGACGGGGAGGUUUGGCACCUCGAUGUCGGCUCAUCGCAUCCUGGGGCCGGAGCAGGUCCCAAGGGUAUGGCUGUUCGCCAUUUAAAGCGGUACGCGAGCUGGGUUCAGAACGUCGUGAGACAGUUCGGUCCCUAUCUGCCGUGGGCGUAAGAAGAUUGAAGAGAUUUGACCCUAGUACGAGAGGACCGGGUUGAACAAACCACUGGUGUAGCUGUUGUUCUGCCAAGAGCAUCGCAGCGUAGCUAAGUUUGGAAAGGAUAAACGCUGAAAGCAUCUAAGCGUGAAGCCAACUCUAAGAUGAAUCUUCUCUAAGCUCUCUAGAAGACUACUAGUUUGAUAGGCUGGGUGUGUAAUGGAUGAAAGUCCUUUAGCUGACCAGUACUAAUAGAGCGUUUGGCUUAUCUUUAAUAAAGCAU